This 243-nucleotide ribosomal RNA is filed under the name uncultured bacterium. RNAcentral describes it as "partial 16S ribosomal RNA". It matches the Rfam family "Bacterial small subunit ribosomal RNA", at positions 531 to 773 of the family's 1533-position model. The record is from RNAcentral.
GAUGCGAGCGUUAUCCGGAUUUAUUGGGUGUAAAGGGAGCGUAGACGGAAUUGCAAGUCUGAUGUGAAAAUCCGGGGCUCAACCCCGGGACUGCAUUGGAAACUACCGAACUAGAGUGUCGGAGAGGUAAGUGGAAUUCCUAGUGUAGCGGUGAAAUGCGUAGAUAUUAGGAGGAACACCAGUGGCGAAGGCGGCUUACUGGACGAUAACUGACGCUGAGGCUCGAAAGCGUGGGGAGCAAAC